UGGGGAAUAUUGGACAAUGGGCGAAAGCCUGAUCCAGCCAUGCCGCGUGUGUGAAGAAGGUCUUCGGAUUGUAAAGCACUUUAAGUUGGGAGGAAGGGCAUUAACCUAAUACGUUAAUGUUUUGACGUUACCGACAGAAUAAGCACCGGCUAACUCUGUGCCAGCAGCCGCGGUAAUACAGAGGGUGCAAGCGUUAAUCGGAAUUACUGGGCGUAAAGCGCGCGUAGGUGGUUUGUUAAGUUGGAUGUGAAAUCCCCGGGCUCAACCUGGGAACUGCAUUCAAAACUGACUGACUAGAGUAUGGUAGAGGGUGGUGGAAUUUCCUGUGUAGCGGUGAAAUGUGUAGAUAUAGGAAGGAACACCAGUGGCGAAGGCGACCACCUGGACUAAUACUGACACUGAGGUGCGAAAGCGUGGGGAGCAAACA
RNAcentral lists this ribosomal RNA (427 nucleotides) under uncultured bacterium. RNAcentral describes it as "partial 16S ribosomal RNA". It matches the Rfam family "Bacterial small subunit ribosomal RNA", at positions 355 to 774 of the family's 1533-position model. The record is from RNAcentral.